Molecule: RNA transcript, 5362 nt
Organism: Oreochromis niloticus (Nile tilapia)
Lineage: Eukaryota; Metazoa; Chordata; Actinopteri; Cichliformes; Cichlidae
Exons: 8
Source: RefSeq, a predicted model, not a curated record
GAAGCCAACAAUCGAAUUUGGUUUUCACAUGAGAGUGCUAGCAGGAGGUUAGUUUGAUAGCGCUGUGAAAACCUGUUUGCAAAACUUUGCAAACGACUCCCAAAGUUUCAAAGCUUUGAAGGAAGGACGAUCCAAGCACCCAAAAAUGAGCUCCAGUGGAGUACGGCGUGAGCAGUACCUGCUCUCCAUUGGUGUCACCCGUAUUCUUGAUGAGCGCUAUGCUGAGCUGGUGAGUUCUGUCAGCGUACGCCAGAUGUUCGUCACCAACCUGAGAAACCGUCCUUUGAGCCCCAGCCAUGUGGACUCGAUGGAAAAUCUGGUUCUCUCAUUAUACCACAACCUGGUUACGGGGACGAAGGCGUUUCCUUAUAUUGCCUUCAGGGGAUUCUUUAACAAACUGCAGCUGAGGACACCUUUCACCCAUGUGCCAGAGAGUCAGAGGGAGAACAACACGCCAUCUCCUCCUACCGACUCACCAGCUGGUUUAAUGGUGCUGCCUGCAGGGUCCCACCUCCAUUCACGGUUGCUCACACCUCUACUUCCAGAGAAGGCAGAUCUUUCUGUCCUGAAGGCAGACCGGAGGAACUGCGUCUGCACCCUGCAUGUCGACGGCCGCACCAUCACCAGAGUCAUUUCCACUGUGUACUGCACAGAGGAGAGGGAAAUGACAAAUCGCUGGAGAGUUACAGACUACACCUCUGACGGCAGAGUAAUCAUGUCGGUGCUCUGCCAGUUUCUGAAGAGGUUUACACAGGGUGCAAAGAGGAAGCCUGCAGAGGAGGAGAGCAGCAGCAGGAGCCCCCCUCCACCAAGGAAACGUCUCCGGCUGUGAUCAGUAAUGAAGCCUUUCCUGGACAUAUAGCAUAUGGAUGUUACAUAUGGAUGUUUCCUCGUGCUUUGGAGCAAACUUUCGAACUCCUCAUGUCUGCGCUGUGUCUGGAAAGGCUGGAAACAUCUCUCCAUCUUACACAGAGACCAUCACCAUCACGGCUCGUCUGAGGAGUUAUUUCUGUACAUAUGUAUAUAGUUUUCUUUUUUUUAUUGAGAUACACAGGUCAGCGUUUUCAGUGCGUCUUGCACUUUUCUUUAUUUCUUGGUGCUGGCCUGUGUGUUUGAUAUGACUGCAAGGAAUAGAAGACUGACUGUAUUAUAUAAUCUGCGCAAAAAUGAACCAAUAAUCCAUGAAGACGGUGCAAAGUGUAAAUUAUCAUCUGCUGCAUCUCAGACAUUGGCGAGAAUGAACAAUGUGAAGAGAAGUCUGAACAGACCAACGGCCUGCCAGAGAAAUCCUCCUCCAAGCGCUCCGCUUCUCCAUCCGUGGAGCUGGAGCUCAACGCUGGCCGGCUGCAGUUUGACGGUCUACCUCUGGGGGCUGGAGCUGCAGGCCCUGGUCUACGAGUGGCCCAGGUACGACUAUUGGACCGCAGAACCAGCAGCAGGCCAAGCAGCCGACCUGGGACUCCAAAUUCCAACACUUCAUCCACCCCAACCCCCUCAGAGGAGCAGAAUGAUGGAGAGGAGGAGGCAGCAGAGCCCGAGGAUGAAGUUCAGGGUGCAGAGCUCGAGCGUUCUACAGUUUCUGCUCCGACCCUGUGACUCCUCAAGAGGCCCUUUCAGCUCCUAAUAGCAGCUGCUAUGGAGAGAAACCCCACUCAAUUUCAGCUGGAUUCAGGAUGUCAUCGCUCUCCAGUGCAGUAUCAUGCGACACCUAUCCAUCAAACAGAAGGCCUCGUCAACAGAGUGGGACUUUGAGAAGCAAAUACACAAUCAAGUGGACCAUCAGAGGACAUGAAAACUCAGGCCUCAUUAGAAAGGACUUCUUCCCCUGAUGCCUGCUCUAAAGCUUGCAGUACACCCAGUGACUCCCAGGGGGCCUCUCUUUCCAAGGACAGCCCAUCAGGGCUAGUUCUUUGCAAAUGCACCGUGACACCAUGUCAGAACUGUAGGAAACCUAAUGGACCUCUGGAAUUGGUUCAGCCUCCCAGAGCCAAUGGACCUGUAGACUGUAACAGUGCCUCAGAUUCCUGCAGGCAGGCUGAGCUACAGAACAGACUGAAGCCUGGGAAAACGCCAUCAGACUCAGCUUCUGCCUCUGCACUGGUGAACCACAUAGGAACAGAAAUGGUUAAGAAGGAACCCGAGAGCUCUGUAAAUGCAUGUGCUCAACAGAACUGCCCCACUGCCCCACGAUAUGGCCCCACAGUGGCCAUCAGAACCACAGGAGCCAGACAGAGCCCCAGGAGGAGUGUAUGAGCACCGAUGAAAAGCCCUCCUUCUCAAUCACCAGCAGUUCCUUCACAGAUGCACCAUCUAGAGGCAGCCAGGAGCACGACUCAGUGAAGUUUGGUUCAGCACCUACUCCAGACAUAAAGGCUGCUCCUGCACUGAUGGACUCACUGCUGCCCAACACACUGUCCUCCAUCACCAACCUGUCCAGCUGCAUGAAGGAUGGAAAAGAGGUGUGUGACUAUGCACAGAAAAGAGAACAGAAGUCUGAACAGAACAACGGCCUGCCAGAGAAAUCCUCCUCCAAGCGCUGCGCUUCUCCAUCCGUGGAGCUGGAGCUCAACGCUGGCCGGCUGCAGUUUGACGAUCUACCUCUGGGGGCUGGAGCUGCAGGCCCUGGUCUACGAGUGGCCCAGGUACGAUUGUUGGACCGCAGAACCAGCAGCAGGCCAAGCAGCCGACCUGGGACUCCAAAUUCCAACACUUCAUCCACCCCAACCCCCUCAGAGGAGCAGAACGAUGGAGAGGAGGAGGCAGCAGAGCCCGAGGAUGAAGUUCAGGGUGCAGAGCUCGAGCGUUCUACAGUUUCUGCUCCGACCCUGUGACUCCUCAAGAGGCCCUUUCAGCUCCUAAUAGCGGCUGCUAUGGAGAGAAACCCCACUCAAUUUCAGCUGGAUUCAGGAUGUCAUCGCUCUCCAGUGCAGUAUCAUGUGACACCUAUCCAUCAAACAGAAGGCCUCAUCAACAGAGUGGGACUUUGAGAAGCAAAUACACAAUCAAGUGGACCAUCAGAGGACAUGAAAACUCAGGCCUCAUUAGAAAGGACUUCUUCCCCUGAUGCCUGCUCUAAAGCUUGCAGUACACCCAGUGACUCCCAGGGGGCCUCUCUUUCCAAGGACAGCCCAUCAGGGCUAGUUCUUUGCAAAUGCACCGUGACACCAUGUCAGAACUGUAGGAAACCUAAUGGACCUCUGGAAUUGGUUCAGCCUCCCAGAGCCAAUGGACCUGUAGACUGUAACAGUGCCUCAGAUUCCUGCAGGCAGGCUGAGCUACAGAACAGACUGAAGCCUGGGAAAACGCCAUCAGACUCAGCUUCUGCCUCUGCACUGGUGAACCACAUAGGAACAGAAAUGGUUAAGAAGGAACCCGAGAGCUCUGUAAAUGCAUGUGCUCAACAGAACUGCCCCACUGCCCCCACGAUAUGGCCCCACAGUGGCCAUCAGAACCACAGGAGCCAGACAGAGCCCCAGGAGGAGUGUAUGAGCACCGAUGAAAAGCCCUCCUUCUCAAUCACCAGCAGUUCCUUCACAGAUGCACCAUCUAGAGGCAGCCAGGAGCACGACUCAGUAAAGUUUGGUUCAGCACCUACUCCAGACAUAAAGGCUGCUCCUGCACUGAUGGACUCACUGCUGCCCAACACACUGUCCUCCAUCACCAACCUGUCCAGCUGCAUGAAGGAUGGAAAAGAGGAGGAUGGGGGUGAGUUUGUCACUCUGUGGCCACAUGUGACAAUUUAAGAGCCUUUGUAUUGCUGUGUUCUGCUAUGAAGCACACGAAGAUGUAAUUAGCUUCUAGCGGUUGUGUUUGUGUUUUUGUGCACGGAUCGAGCUGGACAAACUGGAUGCAGAGAUGAUCGAGCUCUUGGCCAAUCAGAGGAUCCAGCAGCUCUUUGCUCCCAAAGUGCCCAGUACUCAACCUCCCCCCACCACCAGCACUACCCCAAAAACCUCAGCACCCCACCCAAACAGUCAGAAAAAGGUGCAAGCCCGAGCGGUCUUUUACCCUCUGACAGGAAAAGGAGCAGCUGUCAGCAUGUGCUAUAGGACGUUACACAUAGGAUCAGGUGCUGACAUGGAUGUGUGCCUUACAAACUACGGUCACUGCAACUACAUAUCGGGGAAACAUGCCUGUAUUUUCUAUGAUGAGGUCGCAGUAAGAAACGGGAAGAGGAUGAGGGAGCCAACUCCGUGGUGGGGUUGUUGCCAGUAGGUGGAGUGAUGAGUAGCCAACGUCAGGGUGGUGCUGAGCCGUCUUGUAGCUGCAAAGCGAGUAGCUCCAGUCUAAUUGGAGGCAGCGGGGCAGGCUGGGAGGGCACGGCCCUGCUCCACCAUGGCAGCUACAUCAAACUGGGCUGCCUCCAAUUUGUCUUUAGCAUCACUGAGUUUGCCAGUAAGCAGCCCAAAGAGGAGCAGGCCACUACACCUGCUGCCAGUUGCACAAGCACCAGCAGCAGCAGCAGCAGCAGUGUCAUCAGCACCACCCUCACCACCACCGCUAACACCUCCACACCACCACCACCCAGCACCGCCGCAACGAGCGGCUUUUCCAACCAGGAUGAGGCUGACUCUGAGACUGUACCUCCCCACCAAGUGCCCGUACUGCGUUCUAACUCUGUUCCAUAAUCCGCACAGGAAGCCCCGCCCUCCCUCUUAUUUUGCACCUUCUGUGUCACAAUGAAGGGAAAGCUGCACAGCUGGUUGGUCAACAGGGAAAAGUUCUUUUUUGCUUGUUUGUUUUAAUGGUUUAUAUCUUUGCAUGAACUUCAAGUAUUAUUGACAGUCUUUUUUUUUUAUUUUAAAUGACGUAACCUUGUGUUCACUUCAGACCGUUAGGACUUUGAGCAAACAUUACUUCCUUGCGCUCAAUCUUUGUUUUUGCCAGUAUAAGUUAUGUAUGGUGUAACCUUUUUGUCAGUCAGCCCAUUUAGCACAAACAUUUUUUUUUUUUUUCCUUUGUAGUAUUGAAUUCCAUACAUUCUAAUUUCUUUUGCUGCUUUUGCACCACAGGUAGCUAUAUAUGUAUGAAAACAUACAUGCUUAUACACUAUAACAUGUAUAUAUAAUGUAAAUACAUUUUAAUUCAGUGCCUCUCGAUUGGAGAAACAUUGGAUUUCAUGUAGAUUUGCCAUUUUUUGGUUUUUAACUGUACAUUGAAUUUGUGAUACUGUGUAGAGUACCAGACGUUUUGUGAUAAAACUUGUUCUUAGUCUGUACUUUCCGCUGUAGUCCAUCUGUAAAUACCGUAUAGUUUUAGCACUCAUUUUAACAUCUUGUGCUGCUGUGUAUAUAAGCACUCUUUGUCUGUACCUGCUUGUCUGUUCAAACCUGUAAAUACAGAAAGAUUUUCUAAGAACAAA